This 253-nucleotide ribosomal RNA is filed under the name uncultured bacterium. Its description in RNAcentral is "partial 16S ribosomal RNA". It matches the Rfam family "Bacterial small subunit ribosomal RNA", at positions 524 to 776 of the family's 1533-position model. The record is from RNAcentral.
AACGUAGGAGGCAAGCGUUAUCCGGAAUUACUGGGCGUAAAGGGCACGCAGGCGGGCAAUCAAGUCAUGCGUGAAAGCUCUCGGCUAAACUGGGAGAGGUCGGAUGAGACUGAUUGUCUAGAGGCUGUUAGAGGAGUGUGGAAUUCCGCGUGUAGUGGUGAAAUGCGUAGAGAUGCGGAGGAACACCAGUGGCGAAGGCGGCACUCUGGGACAGACCUGACGCUGAGGUGCGAAAGCAUGGGUAGCGAACGGG